Molecule: ribosomal RNA, 719 nt
Filed under: uncultured Bacteroidales bacterium
Lineage: Bacteria; Pseudomonadati; Bacteroidota; Bacteroidia; Bacteroidales
Description: bacterial SSU rRNA
Rfam family: Bacterial small subunit ribosomal RNA
Source: RNAcentral
AGGGGCAGCACGAUGUAGCAAUACAUUGGUGGCGACCGGCGCACGGGUGAGUAACGCGUAUGCAACCUACCUAUCAGAGGGGAAUAACCCGGCGAAAGUCGGACUAAUACCGCAUAAAACAGGGGUUCCACAUGGAAAUAUUUGUUAAAGAAUUAUCGCUGAUAGAUGGGCAUGCGUUCCAUUAGAUAGUUGGUGAGGUAACGGCUCACCAAGUCCACGAUGGAUAGGGGUUCUGAGAGGAAGGUCCCCCACACUGGUACUGAGACACGGACCAGACUCCUACGGGAGGCAGCAGUGAGGAAUAUUGGUCAAUGGGCGAGAGCCUGAACCAGCCAAGUCGCGUGAAGGAUGAAGGAUCUAUGGUUUGUAAACUUCUUUUAUAUGGGAAUAAAGUGAGGACCGUGUUCCUUUUUGUAUGUACCAUAUGAAUAAGCAUCGGCUAACUCCGUGCCAGCAGCCGCGGUAAUACGGAGGAUGCGAGCGUUAUCCGGAUUUAUUGGGUUUAAAGGGUGCGUAGGUGGUUAAUUAAGUCAGCGGUGAAAGUUUGUGGCUCAACCAUAAAAUUGCCGUUGAAACUGGUUGACUUGAGUAUAUUUGAGGUAGGCGGAAUGCGUGGUGUAGCGGUGAAAUGCAUAGAUAUCACGCAGAACUCCGAUUGCGAAGGCAGCUUACUAAACUAUAACUGACACUGAAGCACGAAAGCGUGGGGAUCAAACAGG